AGGAUGAACGCUAGCGGCAGGCUUAAUACAUGCAAGUCGAACGGUAACAGGUCUGUAGCAAUACAGACGCUGACGAGUGGCAGACGGGUGAGGAACACGUACACAACUUUCCUUUAUCUGGUGAAUAGCCCCGAGAAAUCGGGAUUAAUACACCAUAGUAUCUUGGAGUGACAUCACUUUGAGAUUAAAGCUCAGGCGGAUAAAGAUGGGUGUGCGUCUGAUUAGCUAGUUGGUGAGGUACGGCUCACCAGGCGACGAUCAGUAACUGGUGUGAGAGCACGGACCAGUCACGACGGGCACUGGAGACGUACGGGCCCACGUCCGUAGGGAGCGAGCAAGUAAGGAAUAGUUGGUACAAGUGGGAGGACUAACGUCUAGA
Molecule: ribosomal RNA, 379 nt
Filed under: uncultured soil bacterium
Lineage: Bacteria
Description: bacterial SSU rRNA
Rfam family: Bacterial small subunit ribosomal RNA
Source: RNAcentral